Molecule: ribosomal RNA, 497 nt
Filed under: uncultured bacterium
Lineage: Bacteria
Description: partial 16S ribosomal RNA
Rfam family: Bacterial small subunit ribosomal RNA
Source: RNAcentral
GACGAACGCUGGCGGCGUGCCUAAUACAUGCAAGUUGAGCGAUGAAGAUUGGUGCUUGCCCCAAUUUGAAGAGCAGCGAACGGGUGAGUAACGCGUGGGGAAUCUGCCUUUGAGCGGGGGACAACAUUUGGAAACGAAUGCUAAUACCGCAUAAUAACUUUAAACAUAAGUUUUAAGUUUGAAAGAUGCAAUUGCAUCACUCAAAGAUGAUCCCGCGUUGUAUUAGCUAGUUGGUGAGGUAAAGGCUCACCAAGGCGAUGAUACAUAGCCGACCUGAGAGGGUGAUCGGCCACAAUGGGACUGAGACACGGCCCAAACUCCUACGGGAGGCAGCAGUAGGGAAUCUUCGGCAAUGGACGAAAGUCUGACCGAGCAACGCCGCGUGAGUGAAGAAGGGUUUCGGAUCGGAAAACUCUGUUGGUAGAGAAGAACGUUGGUGAGAGUGGAAAGCUCAUCAAGUGACGGUAACUACCCAGAAAGGGACGGCUAACUACGUG